Long non-coding RNA from Cimex lectularius (bed bug), 1415 nucleotides. RefSeq lists it as uncharacterized. The record is from RefSeq and is a predicted model, not a curated record. The transcript has 2 exons. Lineage: Eukaryota; Metazoa; Arthropoda; Insecta; Hemiptera; Cimicidae.
AUUAUUUACGUAUUUAAAUAAGAUUUAGUUUCUCUGUAUGCCGAGUUUUAUUUAGUUUUUCUUUAUUGCAUGAUGUUUUGUUAAGUUUAUAACUAUAAAUGCAGUCAUAUGGCUAAACUAUGUGACCUAUCAUGAGACAUAACCAACGACGCUAUCCGUUUCACUAUACACUGAUGGACAAAAUCACCACCCUUAAAUUUUAAUGUAUUUAGUUUAUUCAUAUUUUGCAUACCGAAAAUAGCUUUGGUUGUAAAAAAAAAUAAGACAUAAAAAAAAAAUUUCAUCUAAAAAAAGAAAUUAUUGAGUAAAACAGAAAAUUCUAAAACAAAAAUGUAAGAAAAUUUUUUUUUGCCCCUUUUAAUACUGAGUAUUUCUACUUAUGGCACGAAUUACGUCCGUUAAACGAUUUUAUGUACCUCAGAAAGUUUUUUCUCCCAUUCAUCAAGGACAGCCGUUUCCAACUCUUCUAGAGUGUAAAACUUUGGGUUUCAUCAUCGUACUUGUCGCUUAGGUUGGUCUUGGAUGUGCUCGGUUGGGUUCAAAUAAGGGCUUCGAGCUGGCCCUCCAAGUACUUAAUUCCAGUCCUGGCCUUAUCCUGGCAUUAUACAGUAUUGACAAGAAUCUCUUACGAUGCGGGUGGCAAAUGACACUAGACUAGUACACAUUUGAAGUUAGAGAUCGUACUUGCCCGAUGACCAAGUAAAUGCUACUCCAGAACAUUAAUGACACAGUGGAAUACCACCUGAGGAUCCAUACAGUAUGGGGGCGCACCUUUCUCUAGAGAGUCGCCAUAUGAAAUUAUGCCCUACUGAAGAUAUGAGACCAACUCUCACCUCAACUCUAAAGAGAACUUGAAAUGUCCAAUUCCAAUUGAAUGGAAGCCUGGCCAUUUUCUGAGAUGUGUAACGAAAGGUUCAUGAGCUGGGUGCCGAGGCCUGAGAGCCUGAUGUCGGAUGAAUCUAUAGUCUGUAGAUCUGUCAUGGAUUACUAGUGUAAAGCUGUAAUUUUCUGAAGCACUGAAGAACACUUCUUACUGUAGAGUGAUUUACACUCUCUCUUGGCAGUUUCACAUUAGCUGUAUCCUUUCACUAUUAAUGUUAUGACAGUCAUACUCACUCAAAUGCCUGACUGGAACCAUUGAAAAAUGUUGAAGAUCAAGAAUAUUAUCAAUUGAAAUCAACGUAGGAAAAAGAUCAACUGAAAGCAAUCUUUAGGCCUAGCAUAAUGGAAGGGUGUAAAGCUACUUUUUGUGCAAAAGGGAUUAAUGAAUGUAUAAGUAAAUAAACAAAGCAUUAUUUACUGUUUAUUUUGACUUAAGAUUGCUCCUAAUUACAUGUAACUGUGAAGAAAGAUAAUGGGUUUAAUUUUGAACUAAGUAAAUUGAGUGGUGCUUCAAAUUUGUCCAUCAUUGUAUA